GAUGAACGCUGGCGGCGUGCCUAAUACAUGCAAGUCGAGCGAACAGACGAGGAGCUUGCUCCUCUGACGUUAGCGGCGGACGGGUGAGUAACACGUGGAUAACCUACCUAUAAGACUGGGAUAACUUCGGGAAACCGGAGCUAAUACCGGAUAAUAUAUUGAACCGCAUGGUUCAAUAGUGAAAGACGGUUUUGCUGUCACUUAUAGAUGGAUCCGCGCCGCAUUAGCUAGUUGGUAAGGUAACGGCUUACCAAGGCGACGAGGCGUAGCCGACCUGAGAGGGUGAUCGGCCACACUGGAACUGAGACACGGUCCAGACUCCUACGGGAGGCAGCAGUAGGGAAUCUUCCGCAAUGGGCGAAAGCCUGACGGAGCAACGCCGCGUGAGUGAUGAAGGUCUUCGGAUCGUAAAACUCUGUUAUUAGGGAAGAACAAAUGUGUAAAUAACUAUGCACGUCUUGACGGUACCUAAUCAGAAAGCCACGGCUAACUACGUG
This 497-nucleotide ribosomal RNA is filed under the name uncultured bacterium. RNAcentral describes it as "partial 16S ribosomal RNA". It matches the Rfam family "Bacterial small subunit ribosomal RNA", at positions 28 to 507 of the family's 1533-position model. The record is from RNAcentral.